AGUAACGGCGAGCGAACGGGGAAGAGCUCGUAGNNGAAGCNNNNUCGAGAGGCUUUGGAAAUGUGGCGUAUGGGAGGCGGCAUCCUCCGGGUGCGGGCACGGGUGCAAGUCCCCAUGAGAGGGGCAUGCUUCCCGGAGCGGGUGCUAGGCCCUUAAUGCCUGUGCACCGCACACGGAGUCGCCGUUCUCCUGGGAGUCGGGUUGCUUGGGAGUGCAGCCCAAAGUGGGUGGUAAACUCCACCUAAAGCUAAAUAAGACCGAGAGACCGAUAGCAAACAAGUACCGUGAGGGAAAGUUGAAAAGCACUUUGAAGAGAGAGUUCAAGAGUACGUGAAACCGUUUGGAGGUAAACGGGUGGGGCCUCGAAAGCCUAAGGCGGUGGCGGAUUCAGUUUCGGGUCCAUGGUUCCCUCCUCCGUUCAGCCUCGUCGAGAGGAGGCUGGGGAGGGGCUUCUGUGGGUCCGGAGCGCACUUCUGCACCCCGUCCAAUGGGACGUCGCAACCGGUUGAACGGCCGUCGUGGGGCCUGGACGAAAGGUGGCCGCCUUUUCUUCGGGAUCGGCGGUGUUAAGGCGUCCUUGAACCUGAGGGGCCGUUCGACCGUGGAAGGAGGCUUGCCUCGACUACGCUCUCGCCCGAGGGAGCGGCCUUUCGGAGGCUCUCGGUUUGCAUUGGCGUGUCGCCUCGAGGGGCGAGGGCCGUGUACGCUGGGAUUCCCUUCGUUGGAGCCGCGGAGAGCAUGAGGUUUGCGACGAGUAGGUCGGUCUCCCACCCGACCCGUCUUGAAACACGGACCAAGGAGUCCAAUGCGCGUGCGAGUUCCCGGGACUUGAUUAGGCCCGUGGGCGCAAUGAAAGUGAAGGUCGACUUCCGUCGGCCGAGCUGGGAUCCUCCCUUAAACGGGAGGCGCACCAGCGGCCCGUUCGAGCUCGGUUUCGGGCGGWCGGAGCUAGAGCACGUGCCUUGGGACCCGAAAGAUGGUGAACUAUGCCUGGGCAGGGUGAAGCCAGAGGAAACUCUGGUGGAGGCCCGUAGCGAUUCUGACGUGCAAAUCGAUCGUCGGACCUUGGUAUA
Molecule: ribosomal RNA, 1073 nt
Filed under: Progarypus sp. JM-2008
Lineage: Eukaryota; Metazoa; Arthropoda; Arachnida; Pseudoscorpiones; Olpiidae
Description: eukaryotic LSU rRNA
Rfam family: Eukaryotic large subunit ribosomal RNA
Source: RNAcentral